RNAcentral lists this ribosomal RNA (437 nucleotides) under Acanthamoeba sp. RNAcentral describes it as "SSU rRNA". The stretch from base 1 to 381 matches the Rfam family "Eukaryotic small subunit ribosomal RNA", at positions 754 to 1115 of the family's 1831-position model. Lineage: Eukaryota; Discosea; Longamoebia; Acanthamoebidae. The record is from RNAcentral.
ACCGUGAAAAAAUUAGAGUGUUCAAAGCAGGCAGAUCCAAUUUUCUGCCACCGAAUACAUUAGCAUGGGAUAAUGGAAUAGGACCCUGUCCUCCUAUUUUCAGUUGGUUUUGGCAGCGCGAGGACUAGGGUAAUGAUUAAUAGGGAUAGUUGGGGGCAUUAAUAUUUAAUUGUCAGAGGUGAAAUUCUUGGAUUUAUGAAAGAUUAAUUUCUGCGAAAGCAUCUGCCAAGGAUGUUUUCAUUAAUCAAGAACGAAAGUUAGGGGAUCGAAGACGAUCAGAUACCGUCGUAGUCUUAACCAUAAACGAUGCCGACCAGCGAUUAGGAGACGUUGAAUACAAAACACCACCAUCGGUGCGGUCAUCCUUGGCGGUUGGUCUUCAAAAGCCAGCGGCGGGGGUGGCUUAGCCCGGUGGCACCGGUGAAUGACUCCCUAGC